RNAcentral lists this long non-coding RNA (883 nucleotides) under Triticum aestivum (bread wheat). Its description in RNAcentral is "long non-coding RNA (TAES_LNC009990)". Lineage: Eukaryota; Viridiplantae; Streptophyta; Magnoliopsida; Poales; Poaceae. The record is from RNAcentral.
CGAAAGUGAAUCUAUAUUGCACAACUGAUAAUACACCAAACAUAAUAUUCAACGGCAAUAUUUGUUCCAUGAUGGGUUAACUAAUAAAGCAAGAAAAAUCAAAAGAAAUAUGUAGCGUAUAUAAAUGAUACAAAAGAUUGAUACAAAAUCAAUGGAUUGGCUGAUCUGAGCCUCCCAUGCCUAUAUCUUCAAUAGCAGAAGAUGCUAAACCUUGAAUAUAAUUUUUGAAAUGCAAAUCAAUGCAUAAUAUAGCAGGUAAAAGGAGUUAAUGAUAGAUGCAAAAUUUGAGAACUUACGUCUAGGACAAGGCAAAAGGCAUCUGCGAUUGCGAUAACCUUAAAAUCGCUUAAUGAACUUGAAAAAAUGAAUUGAAUGUCUUGUUUCGGUUACUCAUCUUGCCUUCCUGUAAGAUCUUAUAGAAACAAAAUUACUAAAUGUCUAAAUAGGUUUCCACAUCUAACAAUCAGUGGCAUCUAGCAGUGAAAAUCAUCAUUCAGUGACAUCUACUAAAAAACAAAACAAAGGCAUCAAGGCAUCAAGGCAUUAAGCAAUACCUCUCUGCUCUGCUCAGUAUUGCGGCUCAGCUCCUGGCAAACCAGCACCUCGCCGGACGCCAGGAAGAAGGGAUCGAGCACCUCGCGGAGGCCAAGCCUCGCCGGAGUCGCCGCCACCGCGCCUCGCCGGACGCCAGGAAGAAGGGAUCGAGCACCUCGCGGACGCCAAGCCUCGCCGGAGUCGCCGCCUCCACGCCUCGCCGGACGGAGCAGCAGCGCGCAGCGCGGCAGUGGCGCAACCUGACGCCCGCAUGACCGCAGAAGGGAUCGAAGGGGCGGGCAACGGACCGGGAGGGCAGGGACGGCUGGUCCUGGUCGCCUAGGGUUUG